Molecule: ribosomal RNA, 519 nt
Filed under: uncultured bacterium
Lineage: Bacteria
Description: partial 16S ribosomal RNA
Rfam family: Bacterial small subunit ribosomal RNA
Source: RNAcentral
UGGGGAAUUUUGGACAAUGGGCGAAAGCCUGAUCCAGCAAUGCCGCGUGUGUGAAGAAGGCCUUCGGGUUGUAAAGCACUUUUGUCCGGAAAGAAAUCCUUGGCUCUAAUACAGUCGGGGGAUGACGGUACCGGAAGAAUAAGCACCGGCUAACUACGUGCCAGCAGCCGCGGUAAUACGUAGGGUGCAAGCGUUAAUCGGAAUUACUGGGCGUAAAGCGUGCGCAGGCGGUUUGCUAAGACCGAUGUGAAAUCCCCGGGCUCAACCUGGGAACUGCAUUGGUGACUGGCAGGCUAGAGUAUGGCAGAGGGGGGUAGAAUUCCACGUGUAGCAGUGAAAUGCGUAGAGAUGUGGNGGAAUACCGAUGGCGAAGGCAGCCCCCUGGGCCAAUACUGACGCUCAUGCACGAAAAGCGUGGGGAGCAAACAGGAUUAGAUACCCUGGUAGUCCACGCCCUAAACGAUGUCGAACUAGUUGUUGGGGGACUUAAUUUCCUUGUAACGUAGCUAACGCGUGAAG